RNAcentral lists this transfer RNA (72 nucleotides) under Babesia gibsoni. Its description in RNAcentral is "tRNA-Gln". Lineage: Eukaryota; Apicomplexa; Aconoidasida; Piroplasmida; Babesiidae. The record is from RNAcentral.
AGGUCCCGCCAGGAUUCGAACCUGGGUUGGUGGAGUCAGAGUCCACAGUGAUAACCGCUACACCACGAGACC